UGAACGCUGGCGACGUGGAUAAGGCAUGCAAGUCGAACGGUUGUAGCAAUACAACAGUGGCGAACGGGUUAGUAACACGUAGAUAUCAACCCUUUACUCGGGCAUAACCUGGAGAAAUCUAGGCUAAUUCCCGAUAGUCCGGAAACGGUAAAGAUUUUUCGGUAAAGGAUGAGUCUGCGUCCUAUCAGCUAGUUGGUGAGGUAAUGGCUCACCAAGGCAAUGACGGGUAGGCGGAGUGAGAGCUUGACCGCCAACAAUGGCACUGAGACACGGGCCAUACUCCUACGGGAGGCAGCAGUCGAGAAUAUUUGACAAUGGGCGAAAGCCUGAUCAAGCGACGUCGCGUGUGGGAUUAAGAUCUUCGGAUUGUAAACCACUUUUCUAGGGGAAGAACUUUGACUGUACCCUAGGAAUAAGGGGUGACUAAACUCGUGCCAGCAGUAGCGGUAAUACGAGUGCCCCAAGCGUUAUCCGGAUUUAUUGGGCGUAAAGGGUCUGUAGGUGGUUUGUUAAGUUUCUCGUUAAAGCUCCAGGGCUUAACCUUGGAAAAGCGGGAAAAACUGGCAAACUAGAGGAUGUUAGAGGCUGAUGGAACACUUGGUGAAGGGGUGGAAUCCGUUGAUAUCAAGUGGAACACCGAAAGCGAAAGCAAUCAGCUGGGACAGUCCUGACACUGAAAGACGAAAGCGUGGGGAGAGAAAAGGAUUAGAUACCCUUGUAUUCCACGCCUUAAACGAUGAAUACUAGCUAUUGCAAGUGUCGACCCUUGCAGUGGCGAAGCUAACGCGUUAAGUAUUCCGCCUGGGAAGUACGGCCGCAAGGCUAA
RNAcentral lists this ribosomal RNA (826 nucleotides) under uncultured Microgenomates group bacterium. RNAcentral's name for it is "bacterial SSU rRNA". It matches the Rfam family "Bacterial small subunit ribosomal RNA", at positions 30 to 897 of the family's 1533-position model. The record is from RNAcentral.